ACAUUUCAAGGAAAUUGAAAUCCCACACCAAAAACACUUCAAUACCUUUCCUUUCCCUUCCGUUCUCUUUCAUCUCAUCAGUUUCUUACUCUAUGAAAACUGAGAAACCAUACCACUAUUUGCUACACAAAACUGGUGGGAUUCUCUUCAGAAAGUUUCCCAUGAACACUUCGGACUUCAACAACGUCAUGAAGGCGUUUGGGCUUGAAGAGUGAUACGAGCUAACGUGAAAUAGCGUAUGAAAUUAAUAAAAUGGGGCGCUGAGAAAGAAGAGUUAAAUGAAGCUGAGUUUGGUUCAAUAAAAGGGGCAGAGGCGGGAAGAAUAAGAAGAA
This 332-nucleotide unclassified non-coding RNA is filed under the name Hevea brasiliensis (rubber tree). The record is from RNAcentral. Lineage: Eukaryota; Viridiplantae; Streptophyta; Magnoliopsida; Malpighiales; Euphorbiaceae.